Molecule: long non-coding RNA, 1252 nt
Filed under: Olea europaea subsp. europaea
Lineage: Eukaryota; Viridiplantae; Streptophyta; Magnoliopsida; Lamiales; Oleaceae
Source: RNAcentral
ACAACCUUCGCGCAGAAAGUAGAGAGAAAAACGGCAAUAGGGUUGUUUGGCUAAGCUUCAAAAUAAUUAACAAUCUUUUUAUUGAUAAAAAUUGAAAGGAGGGUGCUACAUGUUACAGCUCAGUGUACAGUUUCCUCACAUGAGGGGCGAAGCCUGCGCAUUAAUUGGGUGUGGGUACACCGAGCCUUAGUACAAGGGGUAAAAUCCAAGUUGAAAAUAUUAAGUUUAAAGGAUAAGUUUUUUUUUCUCUCUCUCAGAAUAAGUGACUUUUUUACUUAAAAAGUAAGAAAAAGUCAAGGUAAACACAUUUGAAAAAGAAAAGUUAUUUGGUAAGUACUGAACACUCUCCGAACAUCUUAUCUUUGAGAAGUUUGAUAUGCCAUACCAUGGGAAUAGUUCUCAAACGUACUAUAGACCUAAUGUAAAAAUAUUGAUUUUCUUGAUUGGGAUGUUCAAUUUAGUUUUUCUAUUGCUCGUAAGAAAGUAUGGUCUUUUACAAUUUUUUUCAACUUAGUCUGGUGAUCGAUCACCUAGCCAAUUUCUAGGUCAACCAAUAUCUAAUGCAAGCUUCUCUCUUAUAGCCCUAACACUGUGUGCCUUUACUGUUGUCCUUGUUUUCGGGUUCAAUGCAUGUUAAAAUCAGGAAGAAGAGCAAGCCGAGACGACAUAUGGCUGCACCAUCCUUUAGAAUACAUGAUGUGGAUUAUGAAGGUCAUCACCGACUAUGAGGAAGCUCCAAGAAUUCUCUAGAAAAUUAGUGAUGAUUCCUUGCUAAUCAAUUCCUUAAUCCUUGAGCAUUCCUAGAAGAAUCUAGAAGAAACCAAUUGCUUGACAAUUGCCCACUGCCAUACUAGAAGAAUCAAGAAGGAGCAGCAAGUGACUCUCAUCAUUAAUGCAGUGGAAAAAUCUAGAAUGCAUCCCUGCUUAGAAGAUGCUAGAAGAAUCUAAUUACUAUCACCACUGUCAUUUAUGGGUGUCUCUAGAAUUUGGAUUAGCUUCACCAUGGUCAUACUAGAACCAUCCAUUAGCACCUGUAAAUAAAAGGAAGCUGUGUGCAUCAUGGAUGUAUGAAUGAUGAGAGAAAGUGUGUAAAGAUAAGUGAGAGUAAUUAGUACUCCGUUGAGUAUUAUUAGUGGUGUGUUUGUCUUAAAUUGUGUAAGUAAAUUUAUAUCAAUAAAAUCAUUUUCUUUUGGGAUUUAAACUCAACAAUUUGGUAUUAGAGCUCAGCAGAUUAAACCAAGUUCUCUCUUUA